AGGAGUGUACUCUAUAAAUAUUUUUACGAACCGUUUCUGUCAAACCUUUUCUUUUUCUAUUUCGAAUUCGAACCAUUUUGUUGUAAAUGAAAAAAGCGCAUUUUUGUAUAUAUUGAUAUAUAUAUACUGUAAUGUAUUCUAUGUAUCUUAUAGAAAUUGAAAAUACUCUUUCAAUCAAACAAAUAUUUGAAUUAUUCCCGUAUUCUUAUUUUAAGAAAAUCAAGGGAAUAAAAAAGAAAAAGAAAUGGAUUCUUAUUC
RNAcentral lists this long non-coding RNA (258 nucleotides) under Vigna radiata. RNAcentral describes it as "long non-coding RNA (VRAD_LNC004139)". The record is from RNAcentral. Lineage: Eukaryota; Viridiplantae; Streptophyta; Magnoliopsida; Fabales; Fabaceae.